GAAUUGACGGGGACCCGCACAAGUGGUGGAGCAUGUUGUUUAAUUCGACGAUACACGUAGAACCUUACCUAGACUUGACAUCCUUGGCGAAGUUAUAGAAAUAUAAUGGAGGUUAACCGAGAGACAGGUGGUGCAUGGUUGUCGUCAGCUCGUGUCGUGAGAUGUUGGGUUAAGUCCCGCAACGAGCGCAACCCUUAUCGUUAGUUAUUUUGUCUAACGAGACUGCCAACGCAAGUUGGAGGAAGGUGGGGAUGACGUCAAAUCAUCAUGCCCCUUAUGUCUAGGGCCACAAACGUGCUACAAUGGUCGGUACAAACAGUCGCUAAUUCGUAAGAUAGAGCUAAUCUGUAAAGCCGAUCUCAGUUCGGAUAGAGGGCUGAAAUUCGCCCUCUUGAAGUUGGAAUCACUAGUAAUCGCGAAUCAGCCAUGUCGCGGUGAAUACGUUCUCGGGU
Molecule: ribosomal RNA, 452 nt
Filed under: uncultured Mycoplasma sp.
Lineage: Bacteria; Bacillati; Mycoplasmatota; Mollicutes; Mycoplasmatales; Mycoplasmataceae
Description: bacterial SSU rRNA
Rfam family: Bacterial small subunit ribosomal RNA
Source: RNAcentral